CCUACGGGGGGCAGCAGUGGGGAAUAUUGGACAAUGGGGGCAACCCUGAUCCAGCCAUGCCGCGUGUGUGAAGAAGGCCCUCGGGUUGUAAAGCACUUUCAGUGAGGAAGAACGCCUGGUGGUGAAUACCCAUCAGGAAAGACAUCACUCACAGAAGAAGCACCGGCUAACUCCGUGCCAGCAGCCGCGGUAAUACGGAGGGUGCGAGCGUUAAUCGGAAUUACUGGGCGUAAAGCGCGCGUAGGUGGCUUGAUAAGCCGGUUGUGAAAGCCCCGGGCUCAACCUGGGAACGGCAUCCGGAACUGUCAAGCUAGAGUGCAGGAGAGGAAUGUAGUAUUCCCGGUGUAGCGGUGAAAUGCGUAGAGAUCGGGAGGAAUACCAGUGGCGAAGGCGGCCUUCUGGACUGACACUGACACUGAGGUGCGAAAGCGUGGGUAGCAAACAGGAUUAGAUACCCUAGUAGUC
Molecule: ribosomal RNA, 465 nt
Filed under: Vreelandella stevensii
Lineage: Bacteria; Pseudomonadati; Pseudomonadota; Gammaproteobacteria; Oceanospirillales; Halomonadaceae
Description: partial 16S ribosomal RNA
Rfam family: Bacterial small subunit ribosomal RNA
Source: RNAcentral